RNAcentral lists this ribosomal RNA (501 nucleotides) under uncultured bacterium. RNAcentral's name for it is "partial 16S ribosomal RNA". It matches the Rfam family "Bacterial small subunit ribosomal RNA", at positions 29 to 523 of the family's 1533-position model. The record is from RNAcentral.
AUUGAACGCUGGCGGCAUGCCUUACACAUGCAAGUCGAACGGCAGCACGGGUGCUUGCACCUGGUGGCGAGUGGCGAACGGGUGAGUAAUACAUCGGAACGUACCUUAUCGUGGGGGAUAACGCAGCGAAAGCUGUGCUAAUACCGCAUACGCCCUGAGGGGGAAAGCGGGGGAUCGAAAGACCUCGCGCGAUUAGAGCGGCCGAUGCCUGAUUAGCUUGUUGGUGGGGUAAAAGCCCACCAAGGCGACGAUCAGUAGCUGGUCGGAGAGGACGAUCAGCCACACUGGGACUGAGACACGGCCCAGACUCCUACGGGAGACAGCAGUGGGGAAUUUUGGACAAUGGGGGCAACCCUGAUCCAGCAAUGCCGCGUGAGUGAAGAAGGCCUUCGGGUUGUAAAGCUCUUUUGUCAGGGAAGAAACACCGGCUCUAACACAGUCCGGGAAUGACGGUACCUGAAGAAUAAGCACCGGCUAACUACGUGCCAGCAGCCGCAGUAA